CAGUCGCCGCGGGAAAACGAAGGGGGCUAGCGUUGUUCGGAAUUACUGGGCGUAAAGCGCACGUAGGCGGAUAUUUAAGUCAGGGGUGAAAUCCCAGAGCUCAACUCUGGAACUGCCUUUGAUACUGGGUAUCUAGAGUAUGGAAGAGGUGGGUGGAACUCCGAGUGUAGAGGUGAAAUUCGUAGAUAUUCGGAGGAACACCAGUGGCGAAGGCGGCUCACUGGUCCAUUACUGACGCUGAGGUGCGUAAGCGUGGGGAGCAAACAGGAUUAGAUACCCCCGUAGUCCCUGUCUCUUAUAC
This 301-nucleotide ribosomal RNA is filed under the name uncultured bacterium. RNAcentral's name for it is "partial 16S ribosomal RNA". It matches the Rfam family "Bacterial small subunit ribosomal RNA", at positions 509 to 807 of the family's 1533-position model. The record is from RNAcentral.